GAAUGUAUAAAAGAUUAGCCUCCGCCGCUGCCUGAAACUCCAAUCACAAGUGCCUCUGCCCGUUGCUGAAGUCAUCCAAGUCCUUUUGACAGGGGCCGUAGCCGGUAAUCUGAUAGGAGCACUUACAGUAUCAAGGUGGGAGCCGUCCGGACGGAAUGUGAAGGAAACGGCUAAACAGAUGUGGACCACUUUCCAGCACACUUGGUCCCAAUCAACUGAAUGAGCUCGAUGAAUAUUUGGAGACUUUCUGCUGCGCGUGCGAGGAUUUAUGUGGGGCUUCCGUACUCGCGCCACCAUCCACUGGAGCUGAUGUAGCCUGGACCCCCCCUCGCUUCAGUCAACACUGACAGCCCUGUCCACCAGAGUGAGUGCUUACUCAAGGACUUCUAAUGGUUUUAUGUUGCGUCUAGACUUUAAUAAGCAGUUGUGUUCUCCCGACAGCACAGCCCAAAUAUCCCUCGAAGGUCCUAUGGCGGUGCCUCGGUAAGAAAAUACUGUACGCAUGUGUUGCAGAGCUGAACUCAAAUACGCUCCUCGUAGACCGGAAUGUGGUAAACCCACAGAAAGAUGCCCUGUCAUCACAAAUAUCAACCAGGAAGUGUGCUUUUCUGUUUUACUAUGCUGAAAUAGUAUCACGUAUGGAAACAAUGCAACGUAAAGAAAAUACAAAACAUGACUCCUUCCUUUAAAAUCUGUUUGAAUAAAAGUGAAAUGAUACCGA
Molecule: long non-coding RNA, 721 nt
Organism: Betta splendens (Siamese fighting fish)
Lineage: Eukaryota; Metazoa; Chordata; Actinopteri; Anabantiformes; Osphronemidae
Exons: 2
Source: RefSeq, a predicted model, not a curated record